GAGGUCUUGCAAGGAUACCCUGGUCCUCCUAUAGCACACGCUGUGCUUGAAUCUGGCAAGUAAAGAACAAGAUAAAGAGUGGUUACUAACUUUCCAGAUCUCUGCUGAACCAAGCAAGAGCAGAGAUAAGAUAUUGAAUAUAUUUCUUGAAAAAAAAUCAACAGCUUCAUGCUCCUCCUAAAAGCAGAAAGUCAGAGAUGGUCCCCAGCCCAAAAGCUUAGAGUCAAAGAAGACCCACUUUGGAGAAGAGCUGCUGUCCUUGUUCCAUAUAUCUAUGGAGAGAUAAGGGGUGUGCUGAUCUCCAUGGGUAUCGAGGUGCCGAAUUCUCUCUUGUGUCGACAAAUUUUGCAAUAUUCACCACUAAUGACAGAUUUCACCAAACUUGAGCUACUUGAUUGAAAGGGCCAUGUUGGUUGUACGCUCCCAGAAUAAUCAAUGUACUGAGUCACCUCCACCAGGUGAUUGCAUGUGGAGCAUGGCUGAGCAGAGAGGAGCCUGCCUUACUGUGCUGUGUCAGCUGGGAAAGUCCAGGCCUAAAUUAGUCCUCUAAGGACUUCACCCAAGAUCAGACAAAUAGUGUGUAGCAAAGAGAAUGAAUCAACCCUGAGCAAAUUAACUCCUUGUUUUAUGUGGCUUUAUGUAAGUUUCUCUGAAGUCUUCUGAUUGUACUGAUGAGCAAUGUCUGAAUGUCAAUAUUUUGAUUACUGUUAAUAUGCAUAAUUUUCAAUAAAAUUAAUUUAGCUAAGAAUAAAAAUACCUUUUAUACAAGAUCUCACA
This is a long non-coding RNA of Vidua chalybeata, 777 nucleotides long. RefSeq lists it as uncharacterized. NCBI's taxonomy places the organism in Eukaryota, Metazoa, Chordata, Aves, Passeriformes, Viduidae. The transcript is spliced from 3 exons. The record is from RefSeq and is a predicted model, not a curated record.